AGGGCGGGCGGGGGGCGCGGGCGGUGGUGGUGCGGGUGGUGACUGUCUAGGUCCGCCAUUUUGAAGGAUGAGCGAAGAAAGAGUAAAUGGAAAACGAUGUCGUGCACUCUAGGGGCGAGCGAUCCGCCAGCUGCGGUGUGCCGCGCGUUUCCUUAACGUGAAGUGGGUAUAAGGGGCUCUGAGACUUGACGAAGAAACUGAAAAAGAAGGUGGAGUUGAUGACCAAGGCUCCCUCAAAGAUGCCAGAAUCCCCAGAAAACAGGAAGCAGUCUACCAAAAGCAAUGCCACCAGCCAGUAGGAGUUCUGCUGAAGCUCAGACAAGCGAGAUACUACACCAAACCCUGGGCUGUGUGCAGUUACCAAGUACCCUACCAUUGCGAUACACCUCUGCCAUCUAUUAGCCGACUCCUCACUGACAUCUACAAUUAAACACUUCCUCCUUUGAGGCUGACCCACUGUCUUCCAUCACCUUCCUGCUUUUUCCUUUCUGCUGCCAUCCAGUUGGUUCCAUGU
This 514-nucleotide long non-coding RNA is filed under the name Cricetulus griseus (Chinese hamster). RNAcentral describes it as "lncRNA (ENSCGRG00000025292.1)". The record is from RNAcentral. Lineage: Eukaryota; Metazoa; Chordata; Mammalia; Rodentia; Cricetidae.